UGGGACUGAGUACUGAGGAGGAGGAGCUGGAGAAUGCAGGAAAAGGGGGAAUUGGGCCAGGUGGGGUGGCUCACACCUGUAAUCCCAGCACUUUGGGAGGCUGAGGUGGGCGGAUCACCUGAGGUCGGGAGUUCGAGACCAGCCUGACCAACAUGGAGAAACCCCGUCCCUACUAAAAAUACAAAAUUAGCUGGGCGUGGUGGCGCAUGCCUGUAAUCCCAUCUACUCAGGAGGCUGAAGCAGGAGAAUCGCUUGAACCCGGGAGGCGGAGGUUGCAGUGAGCCAAGAUUAUGCCAUUGCACUCCAGCCUGGGCAACGAGCAAAACUCUCUCAAAAAAAAAAAAAGAAAAGGGGGAACUGGAAGGACUCCAAGGGUUUGGAAAGAGGGUGUGGGUCUUGGAAACGAUGGAGUAGGACGUAAUUGGCCCUGGGCCUGAGUCUGAAGGCCAGAGCUUCAGAAUUCCACUCCUGUGCACUGGAAGAGCAGGCCCAGUGGGCUGGGAAGGCACAGGGCUGCCUGGAGCCAUGUGAGUCUAAUCAAGGUUCCCGCUAGAUCUACCCUCUCCUGCAGCUCCGUGGAUGGCCGUGUGAGACGCUAUGACCUGAGGAUGGGGCAGCUCUUCUCAGACUACGUGGGCAGCCCCAUCACCUGCACCUGCUUUAGCCGGGAUGGGCAGUGCACCCUGGUGUCCAGCCUGGACUCCACAUUGCGGCUCCUGGACAAAGACACAGGGGAGCUGCUGGGCGAGUACAAAGGCCAUAAGAACCAGGAAUACAAGCUGGACUGCUGCCUGAGUGAGCGUGACACACAUGUGGUCAGCUGCUCUGAGGACGGGAAGGUGUUCUUCUGGGACCUGGUGGAGGGUGCGCUGGCUCUGGCCCUGCCUGUGGGUUGCGGUGUGGUG
This 905-nucleotide small RNA is filed under the name Pongo abelii (Sumatran orangutan). RNAcentral's name for it is "retained intron". Lineage: Eukaryota; Metazoa; Chordata; Mammalia; Primates; Hominidae. The record is from RNAcentral.